Long non-coding RNA from Carassius carassius (crucian carp), 777 nucleotides. RefSeq lists it as uncharacterized. The transcript is spliced from 3 exons. Lineage: Eukaryota; Metazoa; Chordata; Actinopteri; Cypriniformes; Cyprinidae. The record is from RefSeq and is a predicted model, not a curated record.
GAGAAGAUGUCAUUUUAAACUGCAACAUUGUAGAGCUGUACUCCUCAUGUUCAACAGUGGCUUGGCUGAAAGUCAUUCCAGAGAACGCAACGAUCAGCCUGACCGAUAGACUUCAGAUCCGUCCUUAUUACUCGUCCAACCAGUGGACCAGUAUUUGUACUGCUGUCAUCACCAAUACAACAGUGCAUGACUCCAGUAUGUACUACUGCGCAGCUGUGCACAGCCGCUUUGCUCACAUCGGUAAUGGAUCCAGAGUCAUUGUGAAAGAACACACUGUGUUUCCUGUUAUUGAUAUUCUUACUCCGCUGAUCAUAAACGGUCCUUUGGUCCCUCUUCAGGGUCCCUCUUGUGAAGGGGGUCGAGGCUUCUCAAGUUCAUGUGUUCUGGACUGUGGAGGGGAAAAAAGAGAAAGGACAGCCAAUUUUGACACAUGGGAACGAUGGUGUCAUCCAGAUCACUAGGAGCCAGAUCCUGAUGACUGCUGAAGAGUGGGAAAGGAAGGUGCAGUGUGUGUGUGUAGUGCAGUUUGGAGGACAGCUCUACACCAAGACCCUUCAGCCACAUGAUGCACCAGAUGUGUGUUAUGCAGCAAAAUACAUAUAUUUGUCUGUCUGCUUAAUAUUUGGUCUCCUGCUUCUGGCAACAGUGAUUAUUUAUAGGCUGGGACGGAAAACUUUAUUGAUGAUGUCUCUAUGAAAACAUAUAGUUCCAAAGAGCUUUCAGUUUAUGUAUUUUGCUCUAACCCAUUUUUAUUUAUCAAACUUAUUUUGGUAUUUG